AUUGAACGCUGGCGGCAGGCCUAAAACAUGCACGUCGAGCGAGCGACGGCAGGGUAAGUAAUGUCUGGGAAACUGCCUGAUGGAGUGGGAUAACUAAUGUAAACGGUAGCUAAUACCUCAUACCAUCCGAUUUGCCAAGAUGGGAUUAGCUAGUAGGUGGGGGAACGGCUCACCUAGGCGACGCUCCCUAGCUGGUCUGAGGGGAGUACCAGCCACCCUGGAACUGGGACACGGUCCCGACUCCUACGGGAGGCAGCAGUGGGGAAGAGUGCACAAUGGGCGCAAGCCUGAUGCAGCCAUGCCGCGUGUGUGAAGAAGGCCUUCGGGUUGUAAAGCACUUUCAGCGGGGAGGCGUUACCCGCAGAAGAAGCACCGGCUAACUCCGGGCCAGCAGCCGCGGUAAUUC
This 406-nucleotide ribosomal RNA is filed under the name uncultured bacterium. Its description in RNAcentral is "partial 16S ribosomal RNA". It matches the Rfam family "Bacterial small subunit ribosomal RNA", at positions 30 to 526 of the family's 1533-position model. The record is from RNAcentral.